GAAAUGCGAUAAGUAGUGUGAAUUGCAGAAUUCAGUGAAUCAUCGAAUCUUUGAACGCACAUUGCGCCCCUUGGUAUUCCAUGGGGCAUGCCUGUUCGAGCGUCAUUUGUACCUUCAAGCUCUGCUUGGUGUUGGGUGUUUGUCCCCGUCUCCGCGCGUGGACUCGCCCCAAAGUGAUUGGCAGCCGGCGUACUGGUCCCGGAGCGCAGCACAUGUCGCGCAAACGAGUGCCUUGGUACGGCGGCGUCCAUAAGCCCCUCUCUCACGCUCUUGACCUCGGAUCAGGGAGGGAUAUCUGCUGAACUCAAGC
This 310-nucleotide unclassified non-coding RNA is filed under the name plant metagenome. Its description in RNAcentral is "partial contains 5.8S ribosomal RNA, internal transcribed spacer 2, and large subunit ribosomal RNA". The stretch from base 1 to 105 matches the Rfam family "5.8S ribosomal RNA", at positions 50 to 154 of the family's 154-position model. The record is from RNAcentral.